Non-coding RNA from Malus domestica (apple), 1175 nucleotides. Lineage: Eukaryota; Viridiplantae; Streptophyta; Magnoliopsida; Rosales; Rosaceae. The record is from RefSeq and is a predicted model, not a curated record.
GUCUCUGUCAGUCAUUAACCCCAGAGCCCAAACGGCUCUCUCCCUUCUUUAACCGAGUCAAUUUAGUAGACAUGUGAAUACUCCAGCUUGGAACACGUGGCAAGCAUCACGACAUGGAGCUCCAUAGAGUUCCAAAUUAAGGGUGAAGAUCAAUCCAACAUGCCCAUCGUCCUCUCUCUAGAAAAUCUGAAAAGGUUUUCUCUCCAUUUCACAGCAAGCCCUUCUAUUAUGUUUUUUUUUCAGUUCUCUCAGACCCCAUUUCUCUGCUCCCUCUUCUUCAUAGCGUCUCAGAAACGCAAAAUCCUUCUGUCUUUUAGAAAGUCAGCCACCUCCUCUCUCGGAUCUCUGCCCUCGCAGCUGUACCACGUACCUCCCAGUGUUUCAAUAGCCCAUCCAUGGUAGAAAUCGGAAAAUCAGAAAGCCAAAGCUAUGUGAGGACCCCCAAUAAUUUCGAAUCCGAGACAACAUCACCCUGAAUCGCCAUCUCAACUCCACAAAAUCAUGUCUCCCAAGCCUCAAGCCAUCAGAAAUUGGAGUACCAUUUUGCACAUGCCACGUAGGUGUCCGAGAUGAACAAAGAGACAGAAGAGACAAAGUCAAAAAGCUUCCAAACUCACGGAUCUGCAAAUUGUGAGCAUACACCCGUGAGAAAACAAGCUGAAGCAGCCGGUCUAAUAGUCCCAGAAAGCAAAAUCAACAGCAACUGUCGCGGCCUUUGUAUGUCAUCAAGGGUAUACGGAUCCAUGAUAGAGCCAAGGAGACAGAAGUAAACACACAAGAGCAACGGAGGAAAACAGCACAGGCCGCAUGACCCAGAUCGAUGCAUCUGGGAGGUAAAAUUCGAAUCCCUGCAAGUGUAAUUGUUGUAGAUCUGGUAAUAAUAUCUGUACUCAGUUCUGUGGUGUAUGGAUCUGUGAUUUAAUUGUGCUUCCUCCAUGCAUCGCAAAACUGAGCUGCAGAAAAUUAACUGCUCUAAACUCUGUUUAUGCGCUGGAUCUACAACAAUCACCCCCAAACUUGCAUCUGUGAAUGGCUAUUUAUGUUGACUGCUUUAAAUUUCCAGCAUAGUGUAGAUGUGGUUGAUGUGAACGAUAGACUUGCUGCUGGGUGCAGGAUUCCAGCUUAGGACGCGUUUUAUUUUCCACGUUCGCAACCUGCAAUUAACCAAUAUGCGU